UGGUUCCGGCAUCGAUGAAGAACGCAGCGAAAUGCGAUAAGUAAUGUGAAUUGCAGAAUUCAGUGAAUCAUCGAAUCUUUGAACGCACAUUGCGCCCUUUGGUAUUCCAUGGGGCAUGCCUGUUCGAGCGUCAUUUUAAUCUUCAAGCUUAGCUUGGCCUUGGGAGUAGCCUAUGGGCGCUCCUGUAACCUGUUGGCGGAAUUGCCUGGCUUCAAGCGUAGCAAACUACUCGCUUUGUCGACUGGUAGAUUCUAGCCUUGCUUUAUUUAUUCAUUAGACCUCGGAUCAGGUAGGGAUACCCGCUGA
Molecule: unclassified non-coding RNA, 306 nt
Filed under: uncultured fungus
Lineage: Eukaryota; Fungi
Description: partial contains 5.8S ribosomal RNA and internal transcribed spacer 2
Rfam family: 5.8S ribosomal RNA (bases 1-133)
Source: RNAcentral